RNAcentral lists this ribosomal RNA (253 nucleotides) under uncultured prokaryote. RNAcentral's name for it is "partial 16S ribosomal RNA". It matches the Rfam family "Bacterial small subunit ribosomal RNA", at positions 524 to 776 of the family's 1533-position model. The record is from RNAcentral.
UACAGAGGUCCCAAGCGUUGUUCGGAUUCAUUGGGCGUAAAGGGAGCGUAGGCGGUUCGGCAAGUCUUUAGUGAAAUCUCUGGGCUCAACUCAGAGUCUGCUGGAGAAACUGCCGGGCUGGAGUAUGGGAGAGGUGAGUGGAAUUCCCGGUGUAGCGGUGAAAUGCGUAGAUAUCGGGAGGAACAUCAGUGGCGAAGGCGACCGCCUGGCCCAACACUGACGCUGAGGUGCGAAAGCGUGGGUAGCAAACAGG